GGCUUUUUGAUUAUAAUUUAAAGUCUGGCCUGCCCAAUGAGUUUUUAAAUGGCCGCGGUAUUUUGACCGUGCAAAGGUAGCAUAAUCAUUAGUUUUUUAAUUGAAAGCUGGAAUGAAAGGUUGGAUGAAAAAAUAACUGUCUCUAUUUAAAUUUUUUAGAAAUUUAUUUUUAAGUUAAAAAGCUUAAAUAUAAUUAGAAGACGAGAAGACCCUAUAGAGUUUUAUUAAUUUCUAUUAUAAUGCCUUUAGAAUUCACUUUUUUAUAAUAUUAAUUAAUUUAAUUGGGGUGAUUGAAAAAUUUAAUAAACUUUUUUUACAUUUAUACAUUUAUUUAUGAGUAAAUGAUCCUUAGAUAAAGAUUAUAAGAUACAAUUACCUUAGGGAUAACAGCGUAAUUUUUUUAAAGAGUUCAAAUCGAAAAAAAAGAUUGCGACCUCGAUGUUGGAUUAAAAUAAAAUUUUGGUGUAGAAGCUAAAGUAUUUAGGUCUGUUCGACCUUUAAAAUUUUACAUGAUCUGAGUUUAAACCGGUGUGAGCCAGGUUGGUUUCUAUCUCUAUUAAAUUUAAAUAUUUUAGUACGAAAGGACCAAGUAUUUGAUUAAAAAUCUUGUUUAAGAAUAAAAUU
This 624-nucleotide ribosomal RNA is filed under the name Germainiellus salebrosus. Its description in RNAcentral is "partial 16S ribosomal RNA". It matches the Rfam family "Bacterial large subunit ribosomal RNA", at positions 1819 to 2852 of the family's 2925-position model. The record is from RNAcentral. Lineage: Eukaryota; Metazoa; Arthropoda; Insecta; Coleoptera; Curculionidae.